Molecule: long non-coding RNA, 2125 nt
Filed under: Brassica napus (rape)
Lineage: Eukaryota; Viridiplantae; Streptophyta; Magnoliopsida; Brassicales; Brassicaceae
Description: long non-coding RNA (BNAP_LNC007167)
Source: RNAcentral
UUGGUACUACGGAUCAAUAGUUUUAAAGAUGCAAACUUUUUUUUUUCUUUGGGUCUGAUUGGGGUUUGAGUAGGUAACAUCUCCUUAUGGGAACGAUCUUCAUCACCAAGACAAUGUAACGCACGGUCAGUUUGCGUUCACAACUCAAGAGACAGGGAACUACUUGGCUUGUUUCUCGGUUGAUUCAAGUCAUCCGCUACCUAAUCCGUUGACCCUUGGGAUUGAUUGGAAGACUGGUAUCGCCGCCAAAGAUUGGGACUCUGUUGCUAAAAAGGAAAAGAUCGAGGCAAGUUACAUUUACAUUUACAUCUCCUCUCUUUUCUUCUUUGUGAUGUGUUGCUACAUCGUUAUGAAUGUGUAUUGUUUUUUGCAGGGUGUUGAGCUUCAGUUAACGAGACUUGAGGGGUUAGUGCAAGCGAUUCGUGAGAACAUCGAGUAUAUAAAGAACAGGUACGUCUCUACCUCUUUUGUCUCCUACAAAAUAGUGAUAUGUAAAGCAAAUUUUGGAUACAGGGAAGGGGAGAUGCGAGGAGUGAGUGAAGCAACCAACGCAAGAGUGGCUUGGUUCAGUAUAAUGUCACUUGGGGUUUGUCUUUCAGCAGCGGGUGCGCAGAUAUGGUACCAAAAAAAAAAAAAAAAAAAAAAAAAAAAAAAACUGUCCCAUAACUUACACUCGAAAGCUAACAUAAGAGUAGAGAGAAUUACCACAUAUUUAUAUAUUUUGUCCAAAAAUAUCUAUUUUUUCAGUGUAGGGACAAUUGUAAGAAUCAGCAAAUCUUUUAUUUGUAUAUUCAGAUCUAUGAUUUAGUCGGUUUUGAAAAAGUUAAAACUGAGGUGGGGACAUAAAACAUGAUAGAUCCCUACAUACAUUGUAUGUUUCGUAAACAACAAAAAAGACUCGUACAUGGUUGUUCCUCUAGCAAGAAUAAAGAUUUUAUUUUAUUCGAUAUUUGUAUUUUACGUUGUGAUCCUUCGAACUCACGAUCAUAUUAAGAAAACAUGUGUUACAGAAGAAAAAACAAUCGGUCCAUUCAACCAGGCGUAGAAACAAAACAAAUAAUGACAAAUAAUAGAUAGGCGGGAAGGUGGUACAGAAAGCCCAUUUACGAAUUUGAAUGGGCCGAACAAAUAACCGUGGGUCCAAUCCAAAACUUUGUGUUAGUCCACCAAACGGAACCCUCUUAACCAUUCAGAAGGUGCGAUCAGCAUCGAUGACGCGCUACCUCCAUUAAAGACACGCCACGUCAACCAUUAUUCGCAAUCUGAUUGGCUGAUCACACGUUGAAGCAAGUCACCUAAAACACGAAACACCUCCCACUCGCGUCAUUUAAGACACACGCGCGCGUGAACUCUCUCUCUCUCUCUCUCUCUCUGUCUUUGUUUUGGUUUGGUUUUGGAAGGACUUUGACCUUCCCCUUGUGCUUGUUGGACUUGGUCGGGGUAAGAAAAAGAGAAGAAGACCCUCGCUGCUCUCCGAUGGCGAUCAGAGGAAUCUUUACGAUUUCAACGGUGGUGUUGUUUCUGCUGACGGUGAAUCACGGCGAAGCUAUAUGGCUGACGAUUCCGGCGACGGGAGGGACCAAGUGCGUCUCCGAGGAGAUACAGAGCAACGUCGUCGUCAUGGCUGAUUACUACGUCGUCGAUGAGCAGAACCCUGGAAACACACCUGCUGUUUCCGCUAAGGUACGGCUCCGAAUCAAACUUAUGUAUUCGAUUGAGUUCAAAGUUGUGAACUUUAUGUCGGUGGCUUUGGUACUACGGAUCAAUAGUUUUAAAGAUGCAAACUUUUUUUUUUCUUUGGGUCUGAUUGGGGUUUGAGUAGGUAACAUCUCCUUAUGGGAACGAUCUUCAUCACCAAGACAAUGUAACGCACGGUCAGUUUGCGUUCACAACUCAAGAGACAGGGAACUACUUGGCUUGUUUCUCGGUUGAUUCAAGUCAUCCGCUACCUAAUCCGUUGACCCUUGGGAUUGAUUGGAAGACUGGUAUCGCCGCCAAAGAUUGGGACUCUGUUGCUAAAAAGGAAAAGAUCGAGGCAAGUUACAUUUACAUUUACAUCUCCUCUCUUUUCUUCUUUGUGAUGUGUUGCUACAUCGUUAUGAAUGUGUAUUGUUUUUUGCAGGGU